CUAUGGGCUGCUCCAGUGAGGAAUAUUGCACAAUGGGGGGAACCCUGAUGCAGCAACGCCGCGUGGAGGAUGACGCAUUUCGGUGUGUAAACUCCUUUUAUAUGUCAAGAAAAUGACGGUAGCAUAUGAAUAAGCACCGGCUAACUCCGUGCCAGCAGCCGCGGUAAUACGGAGGGUGCAAGCGUUACUCGGAAUCACUGGGCGUAAAGGACGCGUAGGCGGGUUGGAAAGUCAGGUGUGAAAUCCUACAGCUUAACUGUAGAACUGCACUUGAAACUUCUAAUCUAGAGUAUGGGAGGGGGAGAUGGAAUUAGUGUGUAGGGGUAACAUCCGUAGAUAUCACUAGGAAUACCUAAAGCGAAGGCGAUCUCCUGGAACAUUACUGACGCUAAGGCGUGAAAGCGUGGGGAGCAAACAGGAUUAGAUACCCCCGUAGUC
Molecule: ribosomal RNA, 438 nt
Filed under: uncultured bacterium
Lineage: Bacteria
Description: partial 16S ribosomal RNA
Rfam family: Bacterial small subunit ribosomal RNA
Source: RNAcentral